This 253-nucleotide ribosomal RNA is filed under the name uncultured bacterium. RNAcentral's name for it is "partial 16S ribosomal RNA". It matches the Rfam family "Bacterial small subunit ribosomal RNA", at positions 524 to 776 of the family's 1533-position model. The record is from RNAcentral.
UACGUAGGGUGCGAGCGUUAAUCGGAAUUACUGGGCGUAAAGCGUGCGCAGGCGGUUUUGGAAGCCGGAUGUGAAAUCCCCGGGCUUAACCUGGGAAUGGCAUUCGGGACUGCAAGGCUGGAGUGCGGCAGAGGAGACUGGAAUUCCUGGUGUAGCAGUGAAAUGCGUAGAUAUCAGGAGGAACACCGAUGGCGAAGGCAGGUCUCUGGGCUGACACUGACGCUCAUGCACGAAAGCGUGGGGAGCAAACAGG